This 465-nucleotide ribosomal RNA is filed under the name uncultured Klebsiella sp. RNAcentral describes it as "bacterial SSU rRNA". It matches the Rfam family "Bacterial small subunit ribosomal RNA", at positions 338 to 795 of the family's 1533-position model. Lineage: Bacteria; Pseudomonadati; Pseudomonadota; Gammaproteobacteria; Enterobacterales; Enterobacteriaceae. The record is from RNAcentral.
CCUACGGGGGGCAGCAGUGGGGAAUAUUGCACAAUGGGCGCAAGCCUGAUGCAGCCAUGCCGCGUGUGUGAAGAAGGCCUUCGGGUUGUAAAGCACUUUCAGCGGGGAGGAAGGCGGUGAGGUUAAUAACCUCAUCGAUUGACGUUACCCGCAGAAGAAGCACCGGCUAACUCCAUGCCAGCAGCCGCGGUAAUACGGAGGGUGCAAGCGUUAAUCGGAAUUACUGGGCGUAAAGCGCACGUAGGCGGUCUGUCAAGUCGGAUGUGAAAUCCCCGGGCUCAACCUGGGAACUGCAUUCGAAACUGGCAGGCUAGAGUCUUGUAGAGGGGGGUAGAAUUCCAGGUGUAGCGGUGAAAUGCGUAGAGAUCUGGAGGAAUACCGGUGGCGAAGGCGGCCCCCUGGACAAAGACUGACGCUCAGGUGCGAAAGCGUGGGAAGCAAACAGGAUUAGAUACCCUAGUAGUC